RNAcentral lists this transfer RNA (67 nucleotides) under Thitarodes sp. QL. RNAcentral's name for it is "tRNA-Ile". RNAcentral also lists the same sequence under 2 other names. The record is from RNAcentral. Lineage: Eukaryota; Metazoa; Arthropoda; Insecta; Lepidoptera; Hepialidae.
AAUAAAGUGCCUGAUUAAAGGAUUAUUUUGAUAGAAUAAAUAAAGUAGUUAUAUUCUACCUUUAUUA